This is a long non-coding RNA of Notolabrus celidotus (New Zealand spotty), 834 nucleotides long. RefSeq lists it as uncharacterized. NCBI's taxonomy places the organism in Eukaryota, Metazoa, Chordata, Actinopteri, Labriformes, Labridae. The transcript has 5 exons. The record is from RefSeq and is a predicted model, not a curated record.
AUUGAAGGUUCACGAGACGUCUGGCGGCGGUGGUCAGGCAGAAAAAGCAUCAAAUAUUUGUUUGCAACCACCUGAAAGAAAAAAUGUCAUUGCUUCUAGUCUCUCAGCAGCAAAAUCGACCACAGCAAGACCGCACAGACCUUCACAGACCUGACUGGUGGAAAAGAGCGCGAGUGAGGGGAGAAGAUAAGACCGCCAGACCUUCAGACAGCCGUAUCAGAUCACCGAUGUGAAAACCAGAAGAAAGAAUGAAUAAUGCAUUCAUUGGAGAAAGAAAUCCUCCCUUUGCUCUAAAUAAACAAGAUCAUUAUCUUGGAAUUACAAGAACAGUCUUUAUGAAACAAUAAAAAUCUGCUUUGUUUUGCUGAUUUAACAAGACACCAGUUCAUCGAAAUCCCACCGGAAGCUCUCAUUUAGGCCAUUGCAGGAGGCAGACAUUCACCUAAUGUUUCAUUUAACCCUGUAUUAUUUUGUUUUGGGUUCAAGACCAUGGGGGAUACAUGUUAGGUGGUAUGACUUUAUUCAUUAUUCACAGACACACUGGGACUGUGCAGCUUUUCAGAAGUCACACUCAUUCUGAUCUUCUGGAUGUUGCUGUGUUUCUUCAGGCUCACUUACCUUCACAGAUAUAAGAUGGCGCAUCUGAAAUGCACUCAGGAUGGCGACAUGGUGACAUAUAGGCAAAUUCUGAAAUACUGAAUACCCUUAGUGCCACUAAUGCCCUGUGUCUUGUUAAUCCCGAAAAAAAUGAGUAUUUUCAUCUCAAGUGAAUGCAAUACAUUUCUAUACAAAAACAUUUUCUGGUAACACAUUAAAUUGUAUUGUAUGUAUUUA